CACCAGACUCCUACGGGAGGCAGCAGUGGGGGAUAUUGCACAAUGGGGGGAACCCUGAUGCAGCGACGCCGCGUGGGUGAAGAAGCGCCUCGGCGCGUAAAGCCCUGUCAGCAGGGAAGAAAAUGACGGUACCUGAAGAAGAAGCCCCGGCUAACUACGUGCCAGCAGCCGCGGUAAUACGUAGGGGGCAAGCGUUAUCCGGAUUUACUGGGUGUAAAGGGAGCGUAGACGGCAGUGCAAGUCCGGAGUGAAAGCCCGGGGCUCAACCCUGGGACUGCUCUGGAAACUGUAAAGCUGGAGUGCGGGAGGGGCAGGCGGAAUUCCUGGUGUAGCGGUGAAAUGCGUAGAUAUCAGGAGGAACACCGGCGGCGAAGGCGGCCUGCUGGACCGUAACUGACGUUGAGGCUCGAAAGCGUGGGGAGCAAACAGGAUUAGAUACCCUCGUA
This 446-nucleotide ribosomal RNA is filed under the name uncultured bacterium. RNAcentral describes it as "bacterial SSU rRNA". It matches the Rfam family "Bacterial small subunit ribosomal RNA", at positions 329 to 792 of the family's 1533-position model. The record is from RNAcentral.